RNAcentral lists this ribosomal RNA (429 nucleotides) under Acidobacteriota bacterium. RNAcentral's name for it is "Acidobacteria bacterium partial 16S ribosomal RNA". It matches the Rfam family "Bacterial small subunit ribosomal RNA", at positions 355 to 776 of the family's 1533-position model. Lineage: Bacteria; Pseudomonadati; Acidobacteriota. The record is from RNAcentral.
UGGGGAAUUUUGGACAAUGGGGGAAACCCUGAUCCAGCCAUCCCGCGUGUGCGAUGAAGGCCUUCGGGUUGUAAAGCACUUUUGGCAGGAAAGAAACGUCAUGGGUUAAUAUCCCGUGAAACUGACGGUACCUGCAGAAUAAGCAUCGGCUAACUACGUGCCAGCAGUCGCGGUUAUACGUAGGGUGCAAGCGUUAAAUGGAAUUACUGGGCGUAUAGCGUGGGCAGGCGGUACGGAAAGAAAGAUGUGAAAUACCAGAGCUCAACUUUGGAACUGCGUUUUUAACUACCAAGCUAGAGUGUGUCAGAGGGGGGUGGGAUUCCGCGUGUAGCAGGGAAAAGCGUUGAUAUGCAGAGAAACACCGAUGGCGAAGGCAGCCUCCGGGGAUAACACUAACGCUCAUGCACGAAAGCGUGGGGAGCAAACAGG